CAGAGAUAUUAGCAGAGCUUGGGAAACUGGAUCAGCAGGCUUGAACGUGAGCUCAGGGACGUGAAGCUUGGCUUGGGCGUCAGAGCCUGGAGGCUUGGCUUGGGCGUCAGAGCCUGGAGGCUUGGCUUGGACCUCAGGGAGGUGAGACUUGACUUGGACUUGGAUCUCAGGGACUGGAGGCUUGACUUGGAUCUCAGGGACUGGAGGCUUGACUUGGAUCUCAGGGACUGGAGGCUUGACUUGGAUUUCAGAGUUGAGCUCUGCGUGAAGUUGCCUGUAGUAGUGGGUAAACGGCAGGGCAGGUUCGCCUUCCAGACUUACCCCCCUGAGAAGUUGUUCUAGCUCCUCCUUCGCCUCCGGACUCCCGAAUCGCAUCAUGAAUUCCCCCACAAACUGUUCUACACUGUCCAGAUUCCUACAGUGCUUAUCCAGUUUGAGCUGCACCCAUUGACGGGCCAGUCCAAAGAACCGGGACCACAUGAAUCGGAG
Molecule: long non-coding RNA, 489 nt
Organism: Ictalurus punctatus (channel catfish)
Lineage: Eukaryota; Metazoa; Chordata; Actinopteri; Siluriformes; Ictaluridae
Source: Ensembl